AGUAAUUAAAAAUACAAAAACAUUAAAUCUGAUGGACAAUCAAUGUUUUCAGUAAUUAUGACAACAAUAGAUAAAUUUCAGAACUUCAAAUACUUUGGACAUCGUUCAAACUUUGACCAAUACGAACGAGCUGUGUUUCAUAUGAAAGGACGAGCAAUCUAAAGUUACAGAAAUCGAAAGUGACUAAGAAGGAAACGGACAAACAGUGAAAGCGAACGUGAUCCUGACCUAGGACACUCCAGUUUCCUCGGAGAGAUCUGUUCGGUGCGCCAGGUUAAUAGAAAUCUCGAUCGGGUCGGGUCAGGAUGACGGCACAGCCAGCGAAAGUGAAAACGAAACGAAACUCUCAAGUCGGUCGUGGGCGCCAGAUGUAGAUACUUGAUACGGGAUAUCAGUAUAAAGGCAGACAGGCAGAAAAUUUAUAGAGAAUAAUCUUCUACAAGAAAGAAUAUGCUUCUUUCGCGCAAAUUGGCUCAACGAGACUAUUAAACAACCUCAAACCUUUCUCACUAAAGGUUAAUUUGAACGGAUAACCAUUACGCUGUCGAAAUGUUUAUUCAUAACAAUCAAUAUUUGAAGUCGUUGCUAAUAAAGCUUACAAAUGAAUGUAAGAUCAAUAUGUGUUCACUAUCAGUCUGAACAAAGCAUUACUAAACGGAUGGGACAAUUUGAUAAGGAACAAUGCUUAUCGAAAGAGUG
Non-coding RNA from Osmia lignaria (orchard mason bee), 699 nucleotides. Lineage: Eukaryota; Metazoa; Arthropoda; Insecta; Hymenoptera; Megachilidae. The record is from RefSeq and is a predicted model, not a curated record.